Molecule: long non-coding RNA, 2723 nt
Organism: Cuculus canorus (common cuckoo)
Lineage: Eukaryota; Metazoa; Chordata; Aves; Cuculiformes; Cuculidae
Exons: 3
Source: RefSeq, a predicted model, not a curated record
CACGGGAGCAAAUUUCACUCUGCCCUGGCCCAAAAAGGCUGGGUGGACGCCAUCACCCGACAUUUCAGCCAUGCCACUUUGCCAUGACGCCAUGGGAGGUGCGGGAUUUGUUUUCCCCAGUGUAUAACUGCGCAGGCUUCAUCUUCUGCUUAGAGCCAAACUGCAUCCUUCACAUUACACCAUCACUGGUCACUGAGUUGAACUGACACGACACAUCAAGAGACUUCUAUGAUGAGUCCAUCUGCUGGGAAGCUUAUGUCAUAAAGAAGGAACAUAUGACAUUCCUGAACUGUAUUUACUGCUGAGCAAGGUGCAUUCUUCCUCUCCAGCACUGAAAUCGAUGCUGUAGCAGGUAAAACGAAAAUGUCAUAACUCAAGGAACAUAUAUUAAUGCAUUCAACAUAGAGUCUAAGUGACAAUAAGUAAAAAAUGAAGUGUAUCACAGAAUGAAAGAAGAAGCAGCUCUGGUCCUGUGAGGAGGAGUGCACAUCUAAGAAGAAAAUUUUUAGUGCUUUCUAAGACUUCAGUUUCCCUGGCAACAUUUUCUUUAGCUUUAGAAAUGUUUUGUCUCUGGUCCAAAUAGUUAGCUUAAUUGCUGUGGUUAUCACUCAGUUUGUUCUAAGGAACCUUACAAUUUAUGAUAGCAUGCCAAGAAAAUGUAAACACUAUUCUGUACACUCAUUAUAACCACAAUUACGUUUCUCAUUAUUGCUUAGGGUCACAAUUUUAGACUCCCUCCAGAGCUUUACAUGCACAGCUAAAUUCUUCAAGGAGUUCAGGCAAAGUGCAAGUCUAUCCAGACCUCCUUUAAAACUCCUGUGCUCAACACCUACCAACCAGUGCUCGGUAAGUCCAGCUCUGGACAUGACAGAAGAUCAGUGCACAAUCAUUGUUGGUGAUAUGCAUACACAAGCACUAUGCUCAAAACUCCAAACUCCACAGGACUUACCCAAUAAUGUCAGCAGAACUACCAAGGGAAUAUGAUAUUAUACACCUUUUCUUUCUUUCCUGGUGAUUUUGCAAGGUUACCAGUUAUGAGAAACAUUAAUACUUACACCUCUGAAAACAGAAUAUUAACGAAUAUUCCCUAAGUGACCUGCAGGUGUGAUCCAGGCUGACACUGCAAUGAUGAGAGAGCAGGUUACCAGCAUAAAAGUAGGCUUUAUCUUGGAAGAGCCGUGUCUCUUUUGCAUUUUCAUGAAAUGCAUCCUUAUGACUGACAUUUUACUGAAUGCCCUUUGGGGAUUCAGUUCAGACCACCAAGUAGAAAUGGCAGUUUUUUUUUUCUUAGAAAUAAAUGUCUCCUGUGCACUGUAUCUGUGAUACUGAGUCUCUGACUGAAAGCUCCCUUUUUACAGUAAGAGAACUUAAGACCCUGGCAGAGAUGGUUUCAGAUAUUCAAUUUCUCUUUAUGUGGCAGAGUAAUGGAAGUGCUCAUGAUCACUGCAGUUUUUUGGCUUUCUCUUAUAGAGGAGCAGUACAUUUAUUUUGAUAUUUAACUUUUUCCUUUUGCAACACUUGUAUACAAAAUCAGAUUGUGUUCAAAAUAAGCCUUGGGAACUGUUGAGUACUGAGAUCUCAAGAACAUAGUAAUGACUGAUAUGUUUAUAGAGUAGAGUUUCCAGUCCGCUCUUCUCCCCUGUCCCAAGCAGCACUUUCUUCAGAAAGUUGGAGAGGGCAGUACCACACAGUUAGAGUGGCCUCCGGCAGCAAACCCCGUGCCACCUGAAUUACACUUGCAAGGCAUGCAAAGUUUAGCCUCAGCAUAAGGGGAUGGGAUCCCCAAAAUGGGCUGAGGGGCCAGGUGAGCACAAAGGUGCAUUGCACACCCUCGUCCACGCACCAAGCUCAACCUGUCAGCCACGAGUACAGAUAUUCUGCUGCCUUCUCAUCCCCAGCAGGAGUAAACUGCAUUGCUCACAUGCACUAUGGCUCACUCCCACUCUUGCCUCACGGCUCAGCUCACUUUUCUUUUUAAUUCCCUCGUUGAACCUUUACUAGCAGAAGCACAUGUAAAAGCUGCAGGUCCCUUUACGUAUCAGAGUCAAACAUUUACUUACAACUGCUGUUCCAGCAAUAACAAUUAAAUUAAACAUGAAGGGAACAGAGCUGCCUGGAAGAUCUACAAGCUGGAGGUGUAAAUCACACCACAUAACUAAUUUAUGACAUUCUGCGCCUACAGCUGUACGCUGACAGUUUGUAAGUGUAAGGGCGGCUGUGAUUUCUAAGUGCUUUUGGUGACGAAAGAAUAGGAAACUGGUUAGAUGGGCCUCUCUCCCUACAACUAAAGUCAUACAUUAAAUGAGGUCAGGUUAGGUCAGUAGCUGAACAAAAAUGAUGUUGCGUACAUGGUUCAGCUGGAAACAUUCCAAGAAGCAUCUUGGAUUUAUUUUUUCCCCAUAAAAAUAAUGCGGUUUUGAAUUUGUGAAACAUAAGGCGGCAACAAGGUUAUUUCUCAACCACUGAAAUUGCCCAAUUACAUUUUCCAGUGAAAAUGUACUUGAGUGAACUUUUUAGAAGCCUUAAACCCACCAUAUUACUAGGCUUUGAAAAUUCUCUAUUUGCUCACCCAGAACAUGUGCAAAUUCAAGUUUGAAGUCCCUUUUUUUUCAGGCUGGAUCUCCUUUGUAUUUCAUAUAUCUAAGUCCUAGGAUUCAGAUGCUUUCCUCUAUCCAGUUUAUGUUUGUAGAUGCUUCUGAAAAUACAUUGGUGCAAGGAACAUA